ACAGUCUAUAUUGGAUCCUGAUGUUUUACCAUGUAACUGCAAACCGGAGAGGGAUCCUGAUGAAAAGCAGAAUAUCUCAAAAGCAUUGAACCAACCUUUGAGUGGAGAGCCUCCACCCACAGACAUGGCAGAGAAACACACAGAAGGAGACAAGGAAGAAGAAACUGAGGCUACAUCGGAUCAAGAGGUUUCAUCAUCCGACGACAAACAGGAAGUGACCGAUCCAAAUAAAAAGGCUCAACUCUCACAAGGUAAA
Notothenia coriiceps (black rockcod) is the source of this 256-nucleotide long non-coding RNA. RefSeq lists it as uncharacterized. The record is from RefSeq and is a predicted model, not a curated record. The transcript has 3 exons. NCBI's taxonomy places the organism in Eukaryota, Metazoa, Chordata, Actinopteri, Perciformes, Nototheniidae.